UGGAUAGCUCAGUCGGUAGAGCAGAGGACUGAAAAUCCUCGUGUCGCUGGUUCGAUUCCGGCUCCA
RNAcentral lists this transfer RNA (66 nucleotides) under human gut metagenome. It matches the Rfam family "tRNA". Rfam says of the family: Transfer RNA (tRNA) molecules are approximately 80 nucleotides in length. Their secondary structure includes four short double-helical elements and three loops (D, anti-codon, and T loops). The record is from RNAcentral.